UGCUUGCACGGGUGGAUGAGUGGCGAACGGGUGAGUAAUACGUGAGUGACCUGCCUUUGACUCUGGGAUAAGCCUGGGAAACUGGGUCUAAUACCGGAUGCGACUACUGCCCGCAUGGGCUGGUGGUGGAAAGGGUUAUGUACUGGUCUUAGAUGGGCUCACGGCCUAUCAGCUGGUUGGUGGGGUAAUGGCCUACCAAGGCGACGACGGGUAGCCGGCCUGAGAGGGUGACCGGCCACACUGGGACUGAGACACGGCCCAGACUCCUACGGGAGGCAGCAGUGGGGAAUAUUGCACAAUGGGCGCAAGCCUGAUGCAGCGACGCCGCGUGAGGGAUGACGGCCUUCGGGUUGUAAACCUCUUUCAGCAGGGAAGAAGCGGAAGUGACGGUACCUGCAGAAGAAGCGCCGGCUAACUACGUGCCAGCAGCCGCGGUAAUACGUAGGGCGCAAGCGUUGUCCGGAAUUAUUGGGCGUAAAGAGCUCGUAGGCGGCUUGUCGCGUCUGCUGUGAAAGCCCGGGGCUUAACUCCGGGUGUGCAGUGGGUACGGGCAGGCUAGAGUGCAGUAGGGGUAACUGGAAUUCCUGGUGUAGCGGUGAAAUGCGCAGAUAUCAGGAGGAACACCGAUGGCGAAGGCAGGUUACUGGGCUGUUACUGACGCUGAGGAGCGAAAGCAUGGGGAGCGAACAGGAUUAGAUACCCUGGUAG
Molecule: ribosomal RNA, 708 nt
Filed under: Rothia kristinae
Lineage: Bacteria; Bacillati; Actinomycetota; Actinomycetes; Micrococcales; Micrococcaceae
Also listed under: 1 other name
Description: bacterial SSU rRNA
Rfam family: Bacterial small subunit ribosomal RNA
Source: RNAcentral